UGGGGAAUUUUGGACAAUGGGCGAAAGCCUGAUCCAGCAAUGCCGCGUGUGUGAAGAAGGCCUUCGGGUUGUAAAGCACUUUUGUCCGGAAAGAAAUCCUCUGGGUUAAUACCUCGGGGGGAUGACGGUACCGGAAGAAUAAGCACCGGCUAACUACGUGCCAGCAGCCGCGGUGAUACGUAGGGUGCAAGCGUUAAUCGGAAUUACUGGGCGUAAAGCGUGCGCAGGCGGUUUUGUAAGACGGAUGUGAAAUCCCCGGGCUUAACCUGGGAACUGCAUUCGUGACUGCAAGGCUAGAGUAUGGCAGAGGGGGGUAGAAUUCCACGUGUAGCAGCGAAAUGCGUAGAGAUGUGGAGGAAUACCGAUGGCGAAGGCAGCCCCCUGGGCCAAUACUGACGCUCAUGCACGAAAGCGUGGGGAGCAAACA
Molecule: ribosomal RNA, 427 nt
Filed under: uncultured bacterium
Lineage: Bacteria
Description: bacterial SSU rRNA
Rfam family: Bacterial small subunit ribosomal RNA
Source: RNAcentral